CAUCAUGUGAACCACCUCAAGCUAUCCUUUUAUACAGAAGUGAGCUGGUCUGUGAAUGGUCAGAGGGAAGUAGCACAAACAGAGAGUAACAGAGCUUUUCGACAUCCACAAAGUAUGUUAUCGAAGCCAAAGGGGGAAAGUCUAAAUGGAUUUGAGGAGUUCCCGUCAUGGCUCAGCAGAAACAAAUCUGACUGGCAUCCAUGAGGACACAGGUUUGAUCCCUGGCCUCAGUGGGUUAAGGAUCUGGCGCUGCUGUGAGCUGUGGUGUAGGUUGCAGACGUGGCUCGGAUCCUGCGCUGCUGUGGCUGUGGUGUAGGCCAGCAGCUGUACCUCUGAUUCGACCCCUAGCCUGGGAACCUCCAUAUGCCACCUUAAAAAAAAAGAAAUGGAUUUGAAUGCCACUAAAUGAUUUUGAUUUGGGUGGACCUGGGUGCACCCACUGUAAACCUGGAUACAUUUCUAUAUACAUAUGGGAUCAAAGACUAUAUAUAGAAUAUACUACUUACAUAGUGCAUAAUAUGCCAAUAUCUAAUAUCACAUAUAAUUACUAUAUUAUAUACUACAUAGACGGUGUAUAUUAUAAAUAAUGUUAAUGUAUAAUUUUUAUUUAUUAAGCUGUAAUGUAUAUAAGUGAAUGGAGGAUGGUAGGUACCUAUAUCAGAUCCUUCACAACUUUAGUAAUCACUCGACCCAUCUGACAUCUGCACAAGCUUUAGAAACAUCCGCUACACCGUGGUGUCAGGUGCCAGGUGUCAGGCUGCAGGACAGCACAGCCUGGCAAAGAAGGCCACCCCCCCCCACAACCGCAUUCAAUCUGGUUGAGAUUAAGAACCUACGCGCAUGUGCUGCUGCAUUUAAGCACAGAGGCCCUCUGCAUUUCAACUCACCCCUCUACAUUUUUGUUCAAAGAAAUUAGGCUUGUAAAUACUUGAGACAAUUUUAACAACAAAGAAAGGCCCUCCAUCCUGCUUUUGAGACAAGACAGACAGCACAGAACAGGACAGACGGCUGCAAUAGUGUCCCGACUGGUCUCUCAGCUCCACGCUGGCCCUCCCACAAUCCAUUCUCUGCACCACUGUCAGAGCCAUCUUUUCAAAAACCAGCUCAAGCCACUGUGUCUUCACCCCCUCUACAGCAGCUUCCCAUGUGGCUUGAAACAAAAUCCAAACUCCUUACGAUGGUCUACGGGAACCGGACCACUGCCUGCCUCUGCAUCCCUUUCCUGCCUCUCUGCAUCUCUUUUUGCUCUCCCCGUUGCUUCUGAUUGAAUGCACCAGCUUUGUGUCUCUGCCUUUAGUGGUCAGGCCUCCCCCUGCCACAGGGCCUUUGCAAUUGCUGUUCUCUUUGCCAGCAACACACUUUCCCGGGGCUGGCUUCUUCUCAUGCGAGUCCAGGCUCAGAUGGAAUCUCACCUGAAGCCUCCUCUCUACGCCUCUGGCCCUCUCUCCCAUGACACUGUUUUAUUACUGCAGAAGCACUCAUACCAUUUCCUGAAACUUCCUUACAUAGCCGGGUGUGUGCACUGGGUUUUGGCUGUCUCUCUCUCUCUCACUUAGGUGCCAGCACCAUAAGGGCCGUGUCCUUCUCAGUGUCCUUCCGCGCUGUAUCUCCAGAUCUUAUGACACUGCCUGGCACUUAGGUGCUCAAAACUUUUUUUUAAAUGGGCUUCUUGAAUGGCUUGGCUCACACCGCUCUGAACACUAAAGACUAGUUUUAGGUACUUCAUGAUGACUGUUCUCCUAGGUAAAGAUUUUACCGUAUUCAAAUUCAUUGCUACAGGCACAGUCCACACGUUACAGACAGAACCAGGCAGUGACUGGCAGCCCAGUCCAUGACUCAGUGGGAUGGGCAGGGCAGCAAUUAGUUACACGUUCUAGUGAGGUGCAGUACUGGCCAAGCAGCUCCUCCCAAGGCAUAAGUUAGCUAUUUUUAAAACAGUUUUAUUAAGACAUAAUGUGUAUACCAUACAACUCACCUAUUUGAAAGUGUACAGUUUGAUGGUUUUUAGGAUACUUACAGCAUCGGGCAACCAUCACCACUAUCUAUAUCCGGUACAUUUUCAUCAUUUUAAGAGGAAACCGCUUCCUCAUUAGCACGCAUUCCCCAUUUCUCCCCAAUCCCGCCUCCCUGUCUCUCUGGAUCUGCCUGUUCCGCACUCUUCAUAUAGAGAAAAAUAUACACUAUGUGAUCCUUUGUGAUGGGCUUCUUUUACUUACCUUAAUGUUUUCAAGAUCCAUCCAUAUUUGUCUGUGCAUUUGUUCUGGCCGUGCCCGUGGCAUGGAAACGUUCUCUGGGUCAGGGAUGGAACCUGUGUCACAGCAGCCUCUGCAGGGACAAUGUUCGAUCCUUAACCCACUGAGCCACACGGGGACUCCAGGAUCCAACCGUGUUGUAACUGUGUCCAUACCUUAUUCCUUUCCAUUGCCAGAUAUCCCAUCUUACUCAUCCAUUCAUCCGCUGAAUGGACAUGAGAGUUAUUUCCAUUUCUGGGCUAUUACGAAUAUAUGCUUUCAAUCAUCUUGGGAACAUACUCAGGGGUGGAAUACCUCUAUGUUUAUCCUUUUGAGGAACUGCCAGCCUGUUUUCCAAAGGGACUGCACCACUUUACAGUGGCGCAUUAGCUCUUGAGAGCCGGUCAGCUCAGCCAGCAACACAGCUCGUGGAAGAGCCAGCCACCAGGAUGCUGGGAGGGCUGGUGAAGGAAGUGGCGGUCCCUGCUCAACAAAAACCUGAUUGUUGUAAUGUGAAUGGAGAUUUGAUGAUAUAACAAAGUGUUUCCCUGUUUGUGGUCUGGGAGAGGGUUUUAGUGGCACAGGGACAGGCAUUAAUCACUAAGAAUCCCAAAGUGAGGACAUAAUGGUCUUUUCAUUGUCCGGUCCAUCCUCGUGAUUAGCCAAGGAAGAAAGUCUCAGUGUGACGCUAAUAUGUCUUUAGCACCUCUCUAAUACUUGCAAAUCUCCCUUUGGAACCAAGAGGGAGCAGGUCACCCGCUCAUCAGAGCCUUCCACGGGCCACACCAUUUAGCUAGAAUUUAGCAUUCUAUUUUUUUUUAUUAUUUUGAAAAAUGAUUACCGUCCACUUACGGAAUAUGGCAUUGAAUUUUUCACUUAUAACCAUGAUACAGUGUUUUCUUUUACAUGUUUUAUUGACAGUGGAACAAAAAAUAAGCCAUAGUAAUAAUCUUACGCGGGCCAUGAAGGAAUUUAAAAACAAUAAAGGCUCUUAGCGGUGUUAACGGCUAAGUAUUUUUUGAUGUGUUUACAAUGGGACACUCCCAGCUUUAAGAAUUUUAGACCCAAGCAACUUUGGUCGAUAUUCACAGCGCUCCUCCUACAGAUGAGGAAACUGAGGCUCAGUACCUUGCUCAGAUCACACAGAUAGCAAGUGGCAGAGCUGUGAUUUGCACCCAGGCAGUCGGGACCAUGCCUCUUGUUAUGAAAGCGGCAUGUGAGUGACAGAUGCUUGGAAAGCCCAGGAUUGGUGGUGCAUUUGGAGGGCCGCCAGCUCGCAAUGGCUUCUGAACUGCCUUUUCCCCACCCCCUUCCCUGGGGUGGGGUCUGCAGGCACCUGGCCUGAACUAAAAGGCCACAUUCUUCCCACUACUGUUGAGUGAAUCAGGGGCAAGAAUUGAUGCAGGCUGGGAAAAUCCAGCUCCUUCCUGAGAAUGUGGAGUGAGUACUGAAAAAGAUGUGAUCCCCACAUGGCACUGAAAUAUAUGUCAAACAGGAGCUGUGAGCAUCCGAUGGAGCCAGUCUAUAAGAAAGAGGAAAUGAAGAUGUGUGCGGAGAAGCAGAGUUGAGAGAUGGGACCUUCAUGGGCUCCCAGGGCUUCCUCUUCUUAGUCCUGGGCCUUCCUGAUGCCAAGUCAGGCUCUUAGUCCUGGAGUGUCUGUCUGUGUUCUUUAAUAAAUGCUCUCCCUUUUUUUUGGGCGGGGGCUGCACCCCUAGCACAUGGAGGUUCCCAGGCUCUGGGUCAAAUCAGAGCUGCGUCUGUGACCUACACCCCAGCUCACGGCAAUGCCGGAUCCUUAACCCACAGAGUGAAGCCAGGGAUUGAACCUGCAUUACUCCUGAGCCACGAUGGGAACUCCCCCCCUCUCAAGCCAAGCUCGCCAGAGCAGGUUUCUGCUUCUUUUAAUGAAAACAAAUUUUCAUAAGAAAUGCAAACGAUACAUGGAUGCAAAAGGGGAAAGUAAGGAAAUCAAGAUUUACAGGAGGAGCUUUCAGGAAAUGAAAGGAGUAUCCUCAAGAGUAGACCAUUCAUUCAUUCAUUCAUUCACCCCAGCUAGUAUAGGUCGGGCACCUCUCAUAUGCCAGGCACCCUUGCCAACCCCAGUAACACCAGUGCUGAAUGUGACAGAAAGGCCUGCACUCUCAGGCAGCUUCUCUUCUAGGUGAGUCAGGAGAUUCCUGAGGUCCAUACAUGUGCACUGGCAACAGUGAAUCACCUUAGAUUUUUUUGGUUGGAAAAUGAUCUGAGUAGGCCUCCAUUUUAGGAGAAUGACUCCUAGACAUGUUUAUAAGAAAUGGUGAGGACGCUAGGGGCAGGAAAAGGGGCAAGAUUCUGAUCAGAGAUGGAGGAACUCUAUGAUACAAUCUUAUCAGAGGCAGCAGAGCAGCAGUAAAAUAUAUGACAUGCUUAUCCUGUGCCAGGCACUGUCCUAGGGACUUUACUUUCACCAUCUCAACGUAGCCUCACAAACCUAAACGUUAUGAUCCAUAUUUCAGAUAAGUUCUCCAGUUAAAGGAAAAAUCAAAAUGGAAAGGAUAGUCUAACUAGAACUGAACCAGGAGAGCUGAGUGUUGUACAUGAAGAUCCAUGGGAUGAAAGACAAAGCAGUCUUCAGAGGGAAAUGCAUAGCUUCAAAUUGCAUUUGCUAGAAAAAAAAAAAAAGAUGUAUAUACAUAAAAGGUAAUAAACAUUUUAACUCAAGAGAUGUGCAAAGAAAAACAAAAUAAUUUCAAAAAGGAAUGAAAAAAAGCAAUGAGUAAAGUCAAAUGCAAAAACUGGUAAAAAGAGAACCCCCAAAAAGGGGGGGAUUGAUUAUUUCACAGAUGAGGAGGCUGUUAAGUAAGUCCUCCAAGGCUGGUACUUACCAAGGGGCAGGGGAACUGAGACUUGAACCUGGAUCUCUUUAGACUUCAGGGCAUGAGUUCUUAACUACAGUGGGUUUGGGGUAUAUGGCCUUGCAGAUGAUGACCAGUCUUCUUUCGUGUA
Molecule: long non-coding RNA, 5216 nt
Filed under: Sus scrofa (pig)
Lineage: Eukaryota; Metazoa; Chordata; Mammalia; Artiodactyla; Suidae
Description: lncRNA (ENSSSCG00025044324.1)
Source: RNAcentral